GCGGUCUUAGUAUAGUGGUCUAGUACAGCUCGUUGUGGAAUUGGGUCAAAUUGAUCCGUUCUUCUGAGCCGAGCAGACGGAUGUUCGAUUCCUCCAGACCGCA
This 103-nucleotide transfer RNA is filed under the name Mycosarcoma maydis (corn smut). Its description in RNAcentral is "tRNA-His for anticodon GUG". It matches the Rfam family "tRNA". From Rfam's summary of the family: Transfer RNA (tRNA) molecules are approximately 80 nucleotides in length. Their secondary structure includes four short double-helical elements and three loops (D, anti-codon, and T loops). Further hydrogen bonds mediate the characteristic L-shaped molecular structure. tRNAs have two regions of fundamental functional importance: the anti-codon, which is responsible for specific mRNA codon recognition, and the 3' end, to which the tRNAs corresponding amino acid is attached (by aminoacyl-tRNA synthetases). tRNAs cope with the degeneracy of the genetic code in two manners: having more than one tRNA (with a specific anti-codon) for a particular amino acid; and 'wobble' base-pairing, i.e. permitting non-standard base-pairing at the 3rd anti-codon position. The record is from RNAcentral. Lineage: Eukaryota; Fungi; Basidiomycota; Ustilaginomycetes; Ustilaginales.